This 866-nucleotide ribosomal RNA is filed under the name human gut metagenome. RNAcentral's name for it is "bacterial SSU rRNA". It matches the Rfam family "Bacterial small subunit ribosomal RNA", at positions 11 to 874 of the family's 1533-position model. The record is from RNAcentral.
GUUUGAUCCUGGCUCAGGAUGAACGCUGGCGGCGUGCCUAAUACAUGCAAGUCGAACGAAUCUUCUUCGGAAGAUGAGUGGCGAACGGGUGAGUAAUACAUAGGUAACCUGCCCCUGUGCGGGGGAUAACAGGAGGAAACUCCUGCUAAUACCGCAUAGCCAUGAGCACCGCAUGGAGCUCAUGCCAAAUAUCCUUCACGGGAUAGCGCAGGGAUGGACCUAUGGCGCAUUAGCUAGUUGGCGGGGCAACGGCCCACCAAGGCAACGAUGCGUAGCCGGCCUGAGAGGGCGGACGGCCACAUUGGGACUGAGACACGGCCCAGACUCCUACGGGAGGCAGCAGUAGGGAAUUUUCGGCAAUGGGGGAAACCCUGACCGAGCAACGCCGCGUGAGCGAAGAAGGCCUUCGGGUCGUAAAGCUCUGUUGUAAAGGAAGAACGUCGGACACAGGAAAUGGUGUGCGAGUGACGGUACUUUACCAGAAAGCCACGGCUAACUACGUGCCAGCAGCCGCGGUAAUACGUAGGUGGCGAGCGUUAUCCGGAAUCAUUGGGCGUAAAGAGGGAGCAGGCGGCCGCAAGGGUCUGUGGUGAAAGACCGAAGCUAAACUUCGGUAAGCCAUGGAAACCGGGCGGCUAGAGUGCGGAAGAGGAUCGUGGAAUUCCAUGUGUAGCGGUGAAAUGCGUAGAUAUAUGGAGGAACACCAGUGGCGAAGGCGACGGUCUGGGCCGCAACUGACGCUCAUUCCCGAAAGCGUGGGGAGCAAAUAGGAUUAGAUACCCUAGUAGUCCACGCCGUAAACGAUGGUCACUAAGUGUCGGGGGUCAAACCCCGGUGCUGCAGUCAACGCAAUAAGUGACCCGCCU